Molecule: small RNA, 1093 nt
Filed under: Pongo abelii (Sumatran orangutan)
Lineage: Eukaryota; Metazoa; Chordata; Mammalia; Primates; Hominidae
Description: retained intron
Source: RNAcentral
CGGGGGCACACCCAGCGGCCACAGCCCCGCAGCAAACCACCGGCCUCCAGGUCACACGUGGGCCCUGCAGUGCCUGUCGGGGAGCCCCCUGGGCCAGGGCGAUGCGAGCCUGACCCCCACAGAGGCCAAGGCGGCUGAGGACAGGAGGGGCCCGGGUGCGGGAGGCCGGGGCGGGAGCUCGGGCAGACACAGGGAGGGGUUCCCAUCCGCCUGCCUUGUAAACCUGAAAGUUGCACUGAUGAGAAACCCUUUUCUUCCCCGAACGUGAGACUUCCAGCGCCCUGUUAGCGGCAGCCUCAGGCCUAAGCCGUCUCUAACCUUUCCGCAGGCAUCGACUACAAGACGACCACCAUCCUGCUGGACGGGCGGCGGGUGAAGCUGCAGCUCUGGGAUACUUCGGGCCAGGGAAGAUUUUGUACCAUAUUCCGCUCCUACUCCCGGGGUGCACAGGGUGUGAUCCUGGUCUAUGACAUUGCGAACCGCUGGUCUUUCGACGGCAUUGAUCGAUGGAUUAAGGAGAUCGAUGAGCAUGCCCCCGGAGUCCCCAAGAUCCUGGUGGGGAACCGCCUGCACCUGGCGUUCAAGCGGCAGGUGCCCACGGAGCAGGCCCAGGCCUACGCCGAGCGCCUGGGCGUGACCUUCUUUGAGGUCAGCCCUCUGUGCAAUUUCAACAUCACGGAGUCGUUCACGGAGCUGGCCAGGAUCGUGCUGCUGCGGCAUGGGAUGGACCGGCUCUGGCGGCCGAGCAAGGUGCUGAGCUUGCAAGACCUCUGCUGCCGGGCGGUCGUGUCCUGCACGCCGGUGCACCUGGUGGACAAGCUCCCGCUCCCCAUUGCCUUAAGAAGCCACCUCAAGUCCUUCUCGAUGGCCAACGGCCUGAACGCCAGGAUGAUGCACGGCCGUUCCUACUCCCUCACCACCAGCUCCACCCACAAAAGGAGCAGCCUCCGUAAAGUGAAGCUCGUCCGCCCCCCCCAGAGCCCCCCCAAAAACUGCACCAGAAACAGCUGCAAAAUUUCUUAAGGAAGGCACUGAAAGAAACAGGGUGGAAUCUCUCCAGGAGAAACUCGGCGUUACCCCUGGCAGCUGGCGG